This 424-nucleotide ribosomal RNA is filed under the name uncultured Glomeraceae. RNAcentral describes it as "SSU rRNA". It matches the Rfam family "Eukaryotic small subunit ribosomal RNA", at positions 459 to 886 of the family's 1831-position model. Lineage: Eukaryota; Fungi; Glomeromycota; Glomeromycetes; Glomerales; Glomeraceae. The record is from RNAcentral.
GGGAGGUAGUGACAAUAAAUAACAAUACGGGGUUCUUUAGGAUUUCGUAAUUGGAAUGAGUACAAUUUAAAUCUCUUAACGAGGAACAAUUGGAGGGCAAGUCUGGUGCCAGCAGCCGCGGUAAUUCCAGCUCCAAUAGCGUAUAUUAAAGUUGUUGCAGUUAAAAAGCUCGUAGUUGAAUUUCGGGAUCAAUACGUCGGUCGUGCUUUUUUGGUACGCACUGGCGUCAUUGGUUUCUCCUUUCUGACGAACCAUGAUGUCAUUAAUUUGGUGUUAUGGGGAGUUAGGACUGUUACUUUGAAAAAUUAGAGUGUUUAAAGCAGGCUCACGCUUGAAUACAUUAGCAUGGAAUAAUGAAAUAGGACGUUUGAUCCUAUUUUGUUGGUUUCUAGGAUUGACGUAAUGAUUAAUAGGGAUAGUUGGG